This 360-nucleotide ribosomal RNA is filed under the name Salmonella enterica. RNAcentral describes it as "bacterial LSU rRNA". It matches the Rfam family "Bacterial large subunit ribosomal RNA", at positions 454 to 816 of the family's 2925-position model. The record is from RNAcentral. Lineage: Bacteria; Pseudomonadati; Pseudomonadota; Gammaproteobacteria; Enterobacterales; Enterobacteriaceae. RNAcentral also lists the same sequence under 1 other name.
CAUCCUCCAAGGCUAAAUACUCCUGACUGACCGAUAGUGAACCAGUACCGUGAGGGAAAGGCGAAAAGAACCCCGGCGAGGGGAGUGAAAAAGAACCUGAAACCGUGUACGUACAAGCAGUGGGAGCACCCUUCGGGGUGUGACUGCGUACCUUUUGUAUAAUGGGUCAGCGACUUAUAUUCUGUAGCAAGGUUAACCGAAUAGGGGAGCCGGAGGGAAACCGAGUCUUAACCGGGCGUUAAGUUGCAGGGUAUAGACCCGAAACCCGGUGAUCUAGCCAUGGGCAGGUUGAAGGUUGGGUAACACUAACUGGAGGACCGAACCGACUAAUGUUGAAAAAUUAGCGGAUGACCUGUGGCU